RNAcentral lists this ribosomal RNA (254 nucleotides) under uncultured bacterium. RNAcentral's name for it is "partial 16S ribosomal RNA". It matches the Rfam family "Bacterial small subunit ribosomal RNA", at positions 524 to 776 of the family's 1533-position model. The record is from RNAcentral.
UACGUAGGAGGCAAGCGUUGUCCGGAGUUACUGGGCGUAAAGGGCCCGCAGGCGGUGGAGUAAGUUUGGAGUGACAGUUCCCAGCUUAACCGGGAAAGGACUUCGAAAACUGCUCGACUUGAGGACUGGAGAGGAAGGCGGAAUUCCGGGUGGAGCGGUGAAAUGCGUAGAGAUCCGGAGGAACACCGACGGCGAAGGCAGCCUUCUCGGAAAGUACCUGACGCUGAGGGCGAAAGCUAGGGGAGGCGAACGGG